GUCAACAACCCCUAAGCCCUUCGGGACUUAGGGGCUUUUCAUCUUAGGAUUGAUAGCCCAGUUGACCAGGCUUAGUUUUACUACGUUAGGGAUGAAUAUAUAGGCACUCCGUCGAUACUUCACCAGUCACGGACUCUGCGGCAAAUCAUUAAACAGGUGUAAGGGUUUAAAGCCAGUGUGAUUUGUUUAGGUAGCUUGCUACCUAUAAACCGUCUCAUAACAUUGCCGAGGUGAAUUUUAC
This is a non-coding RNA of Candidatus Thiomargarita nelsonii, 241 nucleotides long. The record is from Rfam. Lineage: Bacteria; Pseudomonadati; Pseudomonadota; Gammaproteobacteria; Thiotrichales; Thiotrichaceae.